CUUGAUCGACCCCAACCACAACGGCUGGUUCUCCGGCCGGUCCUGGCCGUAGGUCGCCAGCAGUGCCUGAGCCUC
Non-coding RNA from Streptomyces sp., 75 nucleotides. It matches the Rfam family "ASpks TB sRNA". NCBI's taxonomy places the organism in Bacteria, Bacillati, Actinomycetota, Actinomycetes, Kitasatosporales, Streptomycetaceae. The record is from Rfam.